AUUGAACGCUGGCGGCAGGCCUAACACAUGCAAGUCGGACGGUAGCACAGAGAAGCUUGCUCCUUGGGUGACGAGUGGCGGACGGGUGAGUAAUGUCUGGGGAUCUGCCCGAUAGAGGGGGAUAACCACUGGAAACGGUGGCUAAUACCGCAUAACGUCGCAAGACCAAAGAGGGGGACCUUCGGGCCUCUCACUAUCGGAUGAACCCAGAUGGGAUUAACUAGUAGGCGGGGUAAUGUCCCACCUAGGCGACGAUCCCUAGCUGGUCUGAGAGGCUACCCAGCAGCACUGGAAAUGAGCAACGGUCCAGACUCCUACGGGGGGCAGCAGUGGGGAAUAUUGCACAAUGGGCGCAAGCCUGAUGCAGCCAUGCCGCGUGUAUCAAGAAUGCCUUCGGGUUGUAAAGUACUUUCAGCGGGGAGGAAGGCGGUGAGGUUAAUAACCUCGCCGAUUGACGUUACCCGCAGAAGAAGCACCGGCUAACUCCGUGCCAGCCGCCGCCGUAA
RNAcentral lists this ribosomal RNA (506 nucleotides) under uncultured bacterium. RNAcentral describes it as "partial 16S ribosomal RNA". It matches the Rfam family "Bacterial small subunit ribosomal RNA", at positions 30 to 523 of the family's 1533-position model. The record is from RNAcentral.